CAAGUCGAGCGGAAACGAGUUAUCUGAACCUUCGGGGGACGAUAACGGCGUCGAGCGGCGGACGGGUGAGUAAUGCCUAGGAAAUUGCCCUGAUGUGGGGGAUAACCAUUGGAAACGAUGGCUAAUACCGCAUAAUACCUACGGGUCAAAGAGGGGGACCUUCGGGCCUCUCGCGUCAGGAUAUGCCUAGGUGGGAUUAGCUAGUUGGUGAGGUAAUGGCUCACCAAGGCGACGAUCCCUAGCUGGUCUGAGAGGAUGAUCAGCCACACUGGAACUGAGACACGGUCCAGACUCCUACGGGAGGCAGCAGUGGGGAAUAUUGCACAAUGGGCGCAAGCCUGAUGCAGCCAUGCCGCGUGUGUGAAGAAGGCCUUCGGGUUGUAAAGCACUUUCAGUCGUGAGGAAGGUAGUGUAGUUAAUAGCUGCAUUAUUUGACGUUAGCGACAGAAGAAGCACCGGCUAACUCCGUGCCAGCAGCCGCGGUAAUACGGAGGGUGCGAGCGUUAAUCGGAAUUACUGGGCGUAAAGCGCAUGCAGGUGGUUUGUUAAGUCAGAUGUGAAAGCCCGGGGCUCAACCUCGGAAUAGCAUUUGAAACUGGCAGACUAGAGUACUGUAGAGGGGGGUAGAAUUUCAGGUGUAGCGGUGAAAUGCGUAGAGAUCUGAAGGAAUACCGGUGGCGAAGGCGGCCCCCUGGACAGAUACUGACACUCAGAUGCGAAAGCGUGGGGAGCAAACAGGAUUAGAUACCCUGGUAGUCCACGCCGUAAACGAUGUCUACUUGGAGGUUGUGGCCUUGAGCCGUGGCUUUCGGAGCUAACGCGUUAAGUAGACCGCCUGGGGAGUACGGUCGCAAGAUUAAAACUCAAAUGAAUUGACGGGGGCCCGCACAAGCGGUGGAGCAUGUGGUUUAAUUCGAUGCAACGCGAAGAACCUUACCUACUCUUGACAUCCAGAGAACUUUCCAGAGAUGGAUUGGUGCCUUCGGGAACUCUGAGACAGGUGCUGCAUGGCUGUCGUCAGCUCGUGUUGUGAAAUGUUGGGUUAAGUCCCGCAACGAGCGCAACCCUUAUCCUUGUUUGCCAGC
This 1085-nucleotide ribosomal RNA is filed under the name Vibrio sp. PaH1.36. RNAcentral's name for it is "bacterial SSU rRNA". It matches the Rfam family "Bacterial small subunit ribosomal RNA", at positions 58 to 1122 of the family's 1533-position model. The record is from RNAcentral. Lineage: Bacteria; Pseudomonadati; Pseudomonadota; Gammaproteobacteria; Vibrionales; Vibrionaceae.